ACACUCACCUUACCAUUUUCACCACACCACAUGGAUUUCACUCCUAUGUAUAAAUUCUUUGCACCAAAGGGCGAGUUAUUAGAGCCACCACCAUCAUCACAUCCAAUUCUUACAGAUGGCUAUGACCUCGGCCCUCAUCUAAUAGCCAUGAUUCAGGAGCAACCCUUCUCUGGGCAAGUAGAUGAAGAUCCAUACACCCACC
Molecule: long non-coding RNA, 202 nt
Filed under: Sorghum bicolor (sorghum)
Lineage: Eukaryota; Viridiplantae; Streptophyta; Magnoliopsida; Poales; Poaceae
Description: long non-coding RNA (SBIC_LNC017721)
Source: RNAcentral